RNAcentral lists this ribosomal RNA (500 nucleotides) under uncultured bacterium. Its description in RNAcentral is "partial 16S ribosomal RNA". It matches the Rfam family "Bacterial small subunit ribosomal RNA", at positions 30 to 523 of the family's 1533-position model. The record is from RNAcentral.
AUUGAACGCUGGCGGAAUGCUUUACACAUGCAAGUCGAACGGCAGCACGGACUUCGGUCUGGUGGCGAGUGGCGAACGGGUGAGUAAUGUAUCGGAACGUGCCCAGUCGUGGGGGAUAACGUAGUGAAAAUUACGCUAAUACCGCAUACGAUCUAUGGAUGAAAGCGGGGGAUCGCAAGACCUCGCGCGAGUGGAUCGGUCGAUAUCAGAUUAGGUAGUUGGUGGGGGAAAGGCCCACCAAGCCAACGAUCUGUAGCUGGUCUGAGAGGACGACCAGCCACACUGGAACUGAGACACGGUCCAGACUCCUACGGGGGGCAGCAGUGGGGAAUUUUGGACAAUGGGCGAGAGCCUGAUCCAGCCAUUCCGCGUGCAGGAUGAAGGCCCUCGGGUUGUAAACUGCUUUUGUACAGAACGAAAAGGUUUCUACUAAUACUAGGAGCUCAUGACGGUACUGUAAGAAUAAGCACCGGCUAACUACGUGCCAGCAGCCGCCGUAA